Molecule: unclassified non-coding RNA, 343 nt
Filed under: soil metagenome
Description: partial contains 5.8S ribosomal RNA, internal transcribed spacer 2, and large subunit ribosomal RNA
Rfam family: 5.8S ribosomal RNA (bases 1-120)
Source: RNAcentral
GAUGAAGAACGUAGCGAAAGGCGAUAAGUAAUGUGAAUUGCAGAAUUCAGUGAAUCAUCGAAUCUUUGAACGCACAUUGCGCCCGCCAGCAUUCUGGCGGGCAUGCCUGUUCGAGCGUCAUUUCAACCCUCGAGCCCCCCCGGGGGCCUCGGUGUUGGGGGACGGCACACCAGCCGCCCCCGAAAUGCAGUGGCGACCCCGCCGCAGCCUCCCCUGCGUAGUAGCACACACCUCGCACCGGAGCGCGGAGGCGGUCACGCCGUAAAACGCCCAACUUUCUUAGAGUUGACCUCGGAUCAGGUAGGAAUACCCGCUGAACUUAAGCAUAUCAAUAAGCGGAGGA